RNAcentral lists this ribosomal RNA (857 nucleotides) under uncultured bacterium. RNAcentral's name for it is "SSU rRNA". It matches the Rfam family "Bacterial small subunit ribosomal RNA", at positions 524 to 1381 of the family's 1533-position model. The record is from RNAcentral.
UACGGGAGUGGCAAGCGUUAUCCGGAAUUAUUGGGCGUAAAGCGUCCGCAGGCGGUCUUUUAAGUCUGCUGUUAAAGCGUGGAGCUUAACUCCAUUUCGGCAGUGGAAACUGGAAGACUAGAGUGUGGUAGGGGCAGAGGGAAUUCCCGGUGUAGCGGUGAAAUGCGUAGAUAUCGGGAAGAACACCAGUGGCGAAGGCGCUCUGCUGGGCCAUAACUGACGCUCAUGGACGAAAGCCAGGGGAGCGAAAGGGAUUAGAUACCCCUGUAGUCCUGGCCGUAAACGAUGAACACUAGGUGUCGGGGGAAUCGACCCCCUCGGUGUCGUAGCCAACGCGUUAAGUGUUCCGCCUGGGGAGUACGCACGCAAGUGUGAAACUCAAAGGAAUUGACGGGGGCCCGCACAAGCGGUGGAGUAUGUGGUUUAAUUCGAUGCAACGCGAAGAACCUUACCAGGGUUUGACAUCCUGCGAAUCCCUUGGAAACGAGGGAGUGCCUUCGGGAGCGCAGUGACAGGUGGUGCAUGGCUGUCGUCAGCUCGUGUCGUGAGAUGUUGGGUUAAGUCCCGCAACGAGCGCAACCCACGUCGUUAGUUGCCAGCAUUCAGUUGGGCACUCUAGCGAGACCGCCGGUGAUAAACCGGAGGAAGGUGUGGAUGACGUCAAGUCAUCAUGCCCCUUACAUCCUGGGCUACACACGUACUACAAUGCUACGGACAAAGGGCAGCAAACUCGCGAGAGCUAGCAAAUCCCAUAAACCGUGGCUCAGUUCAGAUCGUAGGCUGCAACUCGCCUACGUGAAGGAGGAAUCGCUAGUAAUCGCAGGUCAGCAUACUGCGGUGAAUACGUUCCCGGGCCU